RNAcentral lists this ribosomal RNA (1434 nucleotides) under uncultured marine bacterium. Its description in RNAcentral is "partial 16S ribosomal RNA". It matches the Rfam family "Bacterial small subunit ribosomal RNA". The record is from RNAcentral.
GAGUUUGAUCAUGGCUCAGAACGUACGCUGGCGGCACGCCUAACACAUGCAAGUCGAACGAAGUAGCAAUACUUAGUGGCAGACGGGUGAGUAACAUGUAGGUAUCCGCCCUUUGGCCUGGAAUAACACGAGGAAACUUGUGCUAAUACCGGAUAAGUCUUUACGGAGAAAGCUUUAUGCACCAUUGGAUGAGCCUGCACUUGAUUAGUUUGUUGGUGGGGUAAUGGCCUACCAAGACUGUGAUCAAUAGCUGAUUUGAGAGGAUGAUCAGCCACAUUGGGACUGAGACACGGCCCAAACUCCUACGGGAGGCAGCAGUGGGGAAUCUUGCACAAUGGAGGAAACUCUGAUGCAGCGAUGCCGCGUGAGUGAAGAAGGCCCUUGGGUUGUAAAGCUCUUUCGUCGGGGAAGAAAAUGACUGUACCCGAAUAAGAAGGUCCGGCUAACUUCGUGCCAGCAGCCGCGGUAAUACGAAGGGACCUAGCGUAGUUCGGAAUUACUGGGCUUAAAGAGUUCGUAGGUGGUUGAAAAAGUUGGUGGUGAAAUCCCAGAGCUUAACUCUGGAACUGCCAUCAAAACUUUUCAGCUAGAGUAUGAUAGAGGAAAGCAGAAUUUCUAGUGUAGAGGUGAAAUUCGUAGAUAUUAGAAAGAAUACCAAUUGCGAAGGCAGCUUUCUGGAUCAUUACUGACACUGAGGAACGAAAGCAUGGGUAGCGAAGAGGAUUAGAUACCCUCGUAGUCCAUGCCGUAAACGAUGUGUGUUAGACGUUGGAAAUUUAUUUUCAGUGUCGCAGCGAAAGCGAUAAACACACCGCCUGGGGAGUACGACCGCAAGGUUAAAACUCAAAUGAAUUGACGGGGACCCGCACAAGUAGUGGAGCAUGUGGUUUAAUUCGAAGAUACGCGCAGAACCUUACCAACACUUGACAUGUUCGUCGCGACUCUAAGAGAUUAGAGUCUUCGGUUCGGCCGGACGAAACACAGGUGCUGCAUGGCUGUCGUCAGCUCGUGUCGUGAGAUGUUGGGUUAAGUCCCGCAACGAGCGCAACCCUCACUUUUAGUUGCCAUCAUUUAGUUGGGCACUCUGAAAGAACUGCCAGUGAUAAGCUGGAGGAAGGUGGGGAUGACGUCAAGUCCUCAUGGCCCUUACGUGUUGGGCUACACACGUGCUACAAUGGUACUUACAAUGGGAAGCAAAGAUGCAAGUCCUAGCCAAUCCCUAAAAUGUACCUCAGUUCGGAUUGUACUCUGUAACUCGAGUGCAUGAAGCUGGAAUUGCUAGUAAUCGCGGAUCAGCGCGCCGCGGUGAAUACGUUCCCGGGUCUUGUACACGCCGCCCGUCACACCAUGGAAGUUGGUUACACCUUAAGGCAGAGCUUAUACCUCUGACUACGGUACGAUCAGCAACUGGGGUGAAGUCGUAACAAGGUAACC